GACGAACGCUGGCGGCGUGCUUAACACAUGCAAGUCGAACGGAAAGGCCCUGCUUUCGUGGGGUUCUCGAGUGGCGAACGGGUGAGUAACACGUGAGUAACCUUCCCUUUACUUUGGGAUAACUUCAGGAAACUGGGGCUACUCCCGGAUAGGAGCUCCUGCUGCAUGGUGGGCUUUGGAACUUUUAGGCUGUUGGGGAUGGAUGGGCGGCUUAUCAGCUUGUUGGUUGGGUAGUGGCUUACCCAGGCUUUGAAGGAUAGCCGGCAUGGGAGGGUGAACGGCGACAAGGGGACUGAGAGAGGGACCAGACGGGAACGUGAGACAACAGUGGGAAGUAUUGCACAAUGAGCGGGAGCGUGAGACAGAGACGUCGGGGUCGGAAAGACGGCCUGCGGGUUGUAAACCGCUGUAGCCUGUGACGAAGCGGGAGUGACGGUAAUAGGUGAAGAAGCACCGGCUAACUACGUG
Molecule: ribosomal RNA, 468 nt
Filed under: uncultured bacterium
Lineage: Bacteria
Description: partial 16S ribosomal RNA
Rfam family: Bacterial small subunit ribosomal RNA
Source: RNAcentral